AGGGGUAUAGCUCAGUUGGUAGAGCAUCGGUCUCCAAAACCGAGGGUCGUGAGUUCGAAUCUUACUGCCCCUG
Molecule: non-coding RNA, 73 nt
Organism: Azospirillum sp. CAG:260
Lineage: Bacteria; Pseudomonadati; Pseudomonadota; Alphaproteobacteria; Rhodospirillales; Azospirillaceae
Source: Rfam